GGGAACAUGUAUAAAGUAAACCUACUCUAGUUUACAGUAUAUCUUAUAUUGACAUCUGGGGGAAAGGGUGCAUUGGCUGAGCCAGGUGGUCUGGGGUUGUGUUGUGGGCAGUCAGGCAGCAAGACCAACUGUACUUGUCCGCUUUGUGGUCAUUAGAGGAUCGACUUUACUCGCUGCCACCAGAUUUGACUGUAGCCUGUACCGUCAUUAUUAGUGGAACCAGCAGCAGCUAUGACGUGAUCUGUGAGGCGACGGAUCACAGAUUUAACCCCGCUCAAGAUGGCUUUGAAAUCAACACGUCGACGGCAGUUGUACAUUUCAGUGUUAAUGACAUGUAUGUCAGUCACUCUGUGCGUGUUGUAUCUGCGGGAAAACAGCGUGCAGGGACAAGCACCUGUCCAAGCAGUCCACGUGAUAUCGCCAACGGGACAAAUUACGUCACUUCCUGAACAAAAUCAGAUCAUUUUGUUGUGCCGAACAUCGUUCAUUUUGUGUGGUUUGGAGGAGACCUUGAAGUUUCAUUUCAUCAUCUUUUAAGCAUCAAAUCAGCUUACAGCAUCUUAAAACCCGAUCGGAUUUUUAUUCACUGCGAUCACAAGCCAGUUGGAAAAUGGUGGAAAGUUAUAAAACAAAGUAUUCCAAAUCUGAGGAUAGUCGACAGAAAAGCCCCAGCGGAAAUCUAUGGAAUGUAUGGUGGUCCGUUCAGAACAUAAAUCCGACGUUGCUCGGAUACAGAUUCUGCAGAAUAUGGCGGAAUUUAUAUAUGGAUACUGACGUCAUUGCUUUGAAAUCGUUUAAUCCUCUAAGACAUUAUGAGAUUACAAUGAAUGGGUAUAAGUAUCACGGUCGCCCUGGGAGAUUAAACAACGGGAUUAUAAUCUCUGCUCCAAAUGCAACCUUCCUUUCAUUAUGGUUGAAUACCUACAAGAACUUCACACAAAACGAGUGGGAUUAUCACGAUUCUAUAAUCCCGUACUAUUUACAGUUUACUUAUCCGCAUUUAAUCCACGUGGAGGAAAAGACUCUGAACUACCCAGUGGGUUGGAUAUAAACCUGAUAUAUAAGGACGUCUAUGAUUGGUCGAGAAAUUACGCCAUGCAUCUGUGGUACAGACUCUAUGAUACUGAACACGGGCCGACUGGAAUCAGAACAAUGAAUACGACAUUUGGUCGAAUAGCAAGAUAUAUCUAUUAUGGUACUAGGGAUAUAUUGAAAUGAAUCUUGUCUGUAAAUGGGGAAUCACACCUACUCAUGUCACACGACGGAAUGCGAUGUCGCGGGCGAUGGUCCCGCCGUCCUCGGUGCUGCAACUCACUGUGUACGGCGGCAUCCUCUGGGACUGCCGGAAACCUAACGGCGUGUCCUAGUGUCACCUUGAAUAUGUUUCUAGGGUUGUCAGCAUCAUACCAACGCUCACACAGAUGAUCGAUUGAUGACGUAACUUGGUAAUUGGUGUUAAACACACACCCCAACACUCGCAUGGAACAUAGUCCUAUUUUGUUGUAUUUAUUGAUUUCACAGCGGUAGUCUUGUUUGGCGCCUUCAUAAUUACUUGUCACAACAGUCAGUCCGUCGACGACUUAAUGAUCAUGACCAAAUGUACAUGUGUGUUUUCUGGCUAUAAAUACGUACUUAUGUUUU
Molecule: long non-coding RNA, 1641 nt
Filed under: Haliotis rubra (blacklip abalone)
Lineage: Eukaryota; Metazoa; Mollusca; Gastropoda; Lepetellida; Haliotidae
Description: uncharacterized LOC124274397
Source: RNAcentral